UCCGGGACAGUUUAGUAAACUGUCCGGGACAGUUUAGUAAACAGUUAGGGACAGUUUACAAACCGUCCCGGACUGUUUGUAAACUGUCCCGGACAGUUUAGAAUAGUUUUGGACCAGUUCGUACACCAUAUUUCUGACAUCCUGGAGAUUUCCACAAUAAGCAAAAUGUUCCAUCCAUGUUAUAAACU
Small nucleolar RNA from Dreissena polymorpha, 188 nucleotides. The record is from RefSeq and is a predicted model, not a curated record. Lineage: Eukaryota; Metazoa; Mollusca; Bivalvia; Myida; Dreissenidae.